AGAUGGAUGAGUUGCACAUUUCUAUGGUCCAGUGGAUGGUAAAUAUGCUGAUUAUAAUGGUUCCUGACUUUACUGACCAAAACACUCUUCCAAAAUUGGAGGAGGAAAGUGCUGAGAAACGAAAUAUAAGAGUUAUGCAGUUGGAGCUAGAUGCGACUGCACUGGCAAGAAAGUUGUCCCAGUACUCCACCUAUUUGAUCAGUUGUUGUAAAGGGAUGGUAACAGCAAUGGCUCUGACUCAAGCAGCACAGUCACAAAGUAAUCCUGCUAAGGAGCUUCGGGAGCUGGAUAGGAUGAAGAAUGAAUGUUAUGAGUGGAUCAACACAUGUACUCACCUCCUUUCUCAGAUCAAAGGCAGAAAAGUGAAGUUAUUGACAUCUGAAGAAAAAGAGAAACUACUUGAAGAAGAGGAAGUUAGAAAAGACUUCAUUGAACCUGAAAUAGAUAUAGAUAAGCCUUCUAAAGAGGAUGAAAAAGAAAGUGAAGAGACUAAGGAAUCUCAGGAGAGAGUGGAAGAGGAAGAAGAGAAAGCACAAGAGAUCCCUUCAACAUCUACAGAGAAGGAAGAAGUCAUUCGAUAUAUUGAGGAAGAUGAAAAUGUUUAUUCCAAACCUCUAUCAGGAGAAUAUGUAUUGGCUUCCUGGAAAGAAGAAGCUGAGCAAGGUACAUUGGCUCAAAAGCAUGUUGAAGUAUUGGCUGUAAUUGAACAUAUGCAGGAGAAAUUAAAAGAGGUUGAAAGCAGAGCCAGACAGGCAGAAGAGAAAUUUGAUGAAGUAUAUGAGAAGCUUCAUUACACCCUCAUAAAAAAUAAAGAUCUGGAAGGGGAACUAGAAGAAAUUAUCAAGAUUAGAAAGGAAUCAGAAGACAAACAAGAAAAAUAUGAAAGAGGAAAAGAAGAGAAAGUUAAAGUGGUGGAAAAACAAAAGCAGGAGGGUGAGGAGGAGGAAGAAUAAAUUUAGGCCAAUAGAAAUUUGCUCAAAACCUCUAAAGAAAGAGGUACAACGCAAAGAGAGUAAUCCUGACGGUAAAGCCAGAAUCUGGACUAAAUCCAUUAACAAGAUAAAUCCAAGUAGCAUCCAAAGUAUGCUGGGUGGGGUUCACAGUGGCUACAUCACUGACACACCCAGAUAGUACUGAGCUAAAGAGCUGACACAUGGCUCAGUUGGAGGACUCCCUUUGCAACAGCUACUAGAAAAGUCACAGUAUACAACCCAAGAGCAUUUUCUCUUUAAAAGCACAGCAGUGGCUGUGGAGAUCAGUGCAUUAGCUUACUUCCCAGAUUAAAAACACUUCCUGCAAAAGUGUACUAGCCUCUUUAAUUAAUUUUCUGAGAGGUAUGUGAAAGUACCAGUUUCUUUUUUUCUUUUUUCUUUGUUAUUUUUAGAUACACAUGACAGUAGAGUGUAUUUUGAUAUUUUGUACACACUUGGA
RNAcentral lists this long non-coding RNA (1431 nucleotides) under Ictidomys tridecemlineatus (thirteen-lined ground squirrel). RNAcentral's name for it is "lncRNA (ENSSTOG00000030867.1)". The record is from RNAcentral. Lineage: Eukaryota; Metazoa; Chordata; Mammalia; Rodentia; Sciuridae.